CUCAAGUUCCCUCUCCUGAGAA
This 22-nucleotide microRNA is filed under the name Cordylochernes scorpioides. The record is from RNAcentral. Lineage: Eukaryota; Metazoa; Arthropoda; Arachnida; Pseudoscorpiones; Chernetidae.